RNAcentral lists this ribosomal RNA (435 nucleotides) under uncultured bacterium. RNAcentral describes it as "partial 16S ribosomal RNA". It matches the Rfam family "Bacterial small subunit ribosomal RNA", at positions 29 to 507 of the family's 1533-position model. The record is from RNAcentral.
AGCGAACGCUGGCGGCAGGCUUAACACAUGCAAGUCGAGCGGGCACUUUCGGGUGUCAGCGGCGGACGGGUGAGUAACGCGUGGGAACGUGCCCUCUGGUUCGGAAUAACUCAGGGAAACUUGAGCUAAUACCGGAUACGCCCUUUUGGGGAAAGGCUUGCUGCCGGAGGAACGGCCCGCGUCUGCUUAGCUAGUUGGUGAGGUAACGGCUCACCAAGGCGACGAUCAGUAGCUGGUCUGAGAGGAUGAUCCGCCACACUGGGACUGAGACACGGCCCAGACUCUUACGGGAGGCAGCAGUGGGGAAUAUUGGACAAUGGGCGCAAGCCUGAUCCAGCCAUGCCGCGUGAGUGAUGAAGGCCUUAGGGUUGUAAAGCUCUUUUAUCCGGGACGAUAAUGACGGUACCGGAGGAAUAAGCCCCGGCUAACUUCGUG